Molecule: ribosomal RNA, 472 nt
Filed under: uncultured bacterium
Lineage: Bacteria
Description: bacterial SSU rRNA
Rfam family: Bacterial small subunit ribosomal RNA
Source: RNAcentral
UGGGGAAUUUUGGACAAUGGGGGCAACCCUGAUCCAGCCAUUCCGCGUGAGUGAAGAAGGCCUUCGGGUUGUAAAGCUCUUUCAGCAGGAACGAAACGGUCGGCUUUAAUAAAGUCGGCUAAUGACGGUACCUGCAGAAGAAGCACCGGCUAACUCUGUGCCAGCAGCCGCGGUAAUACAGAGGGUGCGAGCGUUAAUCGGAAUUACUGGGCGUAAAGGGUGCGUAGGCGGUUAAAUAAGUUAGAUGUGAAAUCCCCGGGCUUAACCUGGGAAUUGCAUUUAAUACUGUAUGACUAGAGUAGAGUAGAGGGAAGUGGAAUUUCCGGUGUAGCGGUGAAAUGCGUAGAUAUCGGAAAGAACAUCAGUGGCGAAGGCAGCCCCCUGGGUCAACACUGACGCUCAUGCACGAAAGCGUGGGGAGCAAACAGGAUUAGAUACCCUGGUAGUCCCUGAGCGGGCUGGCAAGGCGCAU